GAAGGUCCCAAGGGUUGUUCGGAAUCACUGGGCGUAAAGGGAGCGUAGGCGGCGUGGUAAGUCAGAUGUGAAAUCCCGGGGCUCAACCCCGGAACUGCAUCCGAUACUGCCAUGCUAGAGGAUUGGAGAGGUAGCUGGAAUUCUUGGUGUAGCAGUGAAAUGCGUAGAGAUCAAGAGGAACACUCGUGGCGAAAGCGAGCUACUGGACAAUUCCUGACGCUGAGGCUCGAAGGCUAGGGUAGCGAAAGGGAUUAGAUACCCCUGUAGUCCUAGCAGUAAACGGUGCACGCUUGGUGUGAGGGGAAUCGACCCCCCUUGUGCCGGAGCUAACGCGUUAAGCGUGCCGCCUGGGAAGUACGGUCGCAAGACUA
RNAcentral lists this ribosomal RNA (371 nucleotides) under uncultured bacterium. Its description in RNAcentral is "bacterial SSU rRNA". It matches the Rfam family "Bacterial small subunit ribosomal RNA", at positions 527 to 896 of the family's 1533-position model. The record is from RNAcentral.